Podarcis lilfordi (Lilford's wall lizard) is the source of this 80-nucleotide non-coding RNA. The record is from the annotation of a GenBank genome assembly. NCBI's taxonomy places the organism in Eukaryota, Metazoa, Chordata, Lepidosauria, Squamata, Lacertidae.
GACAUUCUUCCAUCAUAGCUCAGUGGUAGAGCAUCUGCCUUGAGAGCAGGAGGUCCCAGGUUCAAACCCCAGCAUCUCCA